UUUCUACACAUGUGUAAUCUCUAGCUUUUAAGCUAUCAUUGAAUGAAAUAUCCACUUUGUGGGAGAUCUAUGCUUCUAGCAAGAUUGAUUAUAGUGAAAACUUUGUAAGAAUUUGUCAUCACUAUCAUGAGACAAAGCACCAUUGACAUAGUUACUAGAAGAUUUAUGGUGAGAACUAUCAACAUUCACUUCAGGAAACAUACAUACUAGAGGAAGAGUCCAACAAAUAUUAAUAACAUGUUGAUGUUUAGGUUGCAUAUUAGUUUGAAUUAGUUUCCAAAUUACGAAAACUUUUGCUAAAAGGAAAAAAAAAUGGUAUAGAAAAGCAUCGCAGUAGGCUGUGAUUCGCGACAUUCCAACUAUAUUGACAUUUGAAGCCUAACUAUCAUUUGCAACAAUCAUAGGGGACAUGCACCGUACCCUUGAAAGGAAGCAAGAUAAACAUAAAAUUCCUAAACGACGAAAUCAAGCCAGCACAGCUGCAAAAUAUAAAUCUUAUCACAUCUUUUAAAAUAGACGGAAGAAGUAAUAUCAAGUAAUCCGAGUUAUGCAUUAAACUCACCACGAUAGAUAGUGUUUGGGAUCAAACUGUUUGACCACUUGGACAUUCAGAACAUCUUCGCCCUUUCAAGCUUGACACUUGGGACUGUGUUUGGUACCAAACUGUUUGACUACUCGAUCAUUCAGAAUUUCCUUUCUCUUCAGGUUUGAGACUCAACGCCUGUGCUCGAUACCAAACAGUUUGGCCACCCGGGCAUUCAACCAGGCUUGACACUCAGGGGUUGUGUUCUGUAUCAGUAUGACUGAGUAUAAUACUCAAGGCAACUGGAGUACUCGGUCCUUCCUGAUAGAAUCGCUUUGCUAAUCCCGUUGUCCAUAUGGUCCAAAGACACAAGGCCCAUAAAGUUUUAUUAACGCAUAGGCAGUCUCCCAACAUGGUCCAGAGUUUCUUAAUAGUAGGAGGAAUAUGUGACGGGUGCUCUUUUGCCCCCCCCUAUUGCUCUUUAUUUUGCGAAACUACAUUCAGCAGUUAUCUCCCGAAGCCUUUAAAAGAGCAAACAUCGGAAUAUGUUGUCUAAGAUUAUUCUCUCUAUAGCGCUCAGGUCUUUCUCAUUGUAAUUUGUCUUGAUAUUGAGCUUUUUGCCAGUAUCACUCUUGGUUCUUUGCUUUGUCUUUUCAUUUUGAUGUCUGAUGGUUGAGUUUUAUUAUAAUA
RNAcentral lists this long non-coding RNA (1213 nucleotides) under Medicago truncatula (barrel medic). RNAcentral describes it as "lncRNA gene36981". Lineage: Eukaryota; Viridiplantae; Streptophyta; Magnoliopsida; Fabales; Fabaceae. The record is from RNAcentral.